AAAUAGAUACCCUGGUAGUCCACGCCGUAAACGAUGAGUGCUAAGUGUUAGGGGGUUUCCGCCCCUUAGUGCUGCAGCUAACGCAUUAAGCACUCCGCCUGGGGAGUACGGUCGCAAGACUGAAACUCAAAGGAAUUGACGGGGGCCCGCACAAGCGGUGGAGCAUGUGGUUUAAUUCGAAGCAACGCGAAGAACCUUACCAGGUCUUGACAUCCCAUUGACCGCUAUGGAGACAUAGCUUUCCUUUCGGGGACAGUGGUGACAGGUGGUGCAUGGUUGUCGUCAGCUCGUGUCGUGAGAUGUUGGGUUAAGUCCCGCAACGAGCGCAACCCUUGUUCUUAGUUGCCAUCAUUUAGUUGGGCACUCUAAGGAGACUGCCGGUGACAAACCGGAGGAAGGUGGGGAUGACGUCAAAUCAUCAUGCCCCUUAUGACCUGGGCUACACACGUGCUACAAUGGACGGUACAAACGGUUGCCAACCCGCGAGGGGGAGCUAAUCCGAUAAAACCGUUCUCAGUUCGGAUUGUAGGCUGCAACUCGCCUAC
This 545-nucleotide ribosomal RNA is filed under the name uncultured bacterium. RNAcentral's name for it is "bacterial SSU rRNA". It matches the Rfam family "Bacterial small subunit ribosomal RNA", at positions 776 to 1319 of the family's 1533-position model. The record is from RNAcentral.